UACGAAGGGGGCUAGCGUUGUUCGGAAUUACUGGGCGUAAAGGGCGCGUAGGCUGUGCUGUAAGUCAGGCGUGAAAGGCCCGGGCUCAACCUGGGAACUGCGCUUGAUACUGCGGCGCUUGAAGACGGGAGAGGAUGGCGGAAUUCCCAGUGUAGAGGUGAAAUUCGUAGAUAUUGGGAAGAACACCGGUGGCGAAGGCGGCCAUCUGGCCUGUUCUUGACGCUGAGGCGCGAAAGCUAGGGGAGCAAACGGG
RNAcentral lists this ribosomal RNA (253 nucleotides) under uncultured bacterium. RNAcentral describes it as "partial 16S ribosomal RNA". It matches the Rfam family "Bacterial small subunit ribosomal RNA", at positions 524 to 776 of the family's 1533-position model. The record is from RNAcentral.